Molecule: ribosomal RNA, 449 nt
Filed under: uncultured bacterium
Lineage: Bacteria
Description: partial 16S ribosomal RNA
Rfam family: Bacterial small subunit ribosomal RNA
Source: RNAcentral
AACGAACGCUGGCGGCAGGCUUAACACAUGCAAGUUGAACGCAUCCUUCGGGGUGAGUGGCAGACGAGUGAGUAAUGCGCGGGAACGUGCCCUUCAGUUCGGGAUAACCCAGGGAAACUUGGGCUAAUACCGGAUACGUGCGAGAGCAGAAAGAUUUAUCGCUGAAGGAUCGGCCCGCGUCUGAUUAGCUAGUUGGUGGGGUAAUGGCCCACCAAGGCGACGAUCAGUAGCUGGUCUGAGAGGAUGAUCAGCCACAUUGGGACUGAGACACGGCCCAAACUCCUACGGGAGGCAGCAGUGGGGAAUAUUGGACAAUGGGCGCAAGCCUGAUCCAGCCAUGCCGCGUGAGUGAUGAAGGCCUUAUGGUUGUAAAGCUCUUUCGUCCGGGACGAUAAUGACGGUACCGGAAGAAGAAGCCCCGGCUAUCUUCGUGCCAGCCGCCGCAGUAA